GCAGACAGGGGAAUGGAAUGGCCUCUCACUUUGACAAGUAUCUGGUUUGGGAUUGUGUGUUGUUGGAAGCGACACUCCCACCCAAUAUACCCAUCUUUGUAAUCGGACCAUCUCCCCAGAUAAAGAUUCUAGUUACCUUCCACCACAAAAUGAUACAUGGUGGAUAUGCCUUGAUGGGCUUUCCCCUUGCUUGGCCACCGAAGCAUUUUUUACUGACAGUUCUGAUUUUUGUGUUUUGGUCCAACUUGUUCCUCAAUUAAUUUAUUAUCCCUCUGAGGAAAUUUUUCAUCUUUGGGAUCAGUCUCAUGACUCUUCCCUUGGCCUCUCUUGACAGUGGCGCGAGCCCAUCUCCGCCAUCACUAUUUCUGUUUUAUUGGGACUGGGAGCUGUGGUGCUGGGACAGGAAUUUCAUCACGUGUUCUUUCAAACAGCCGCUGCCAAGAAUUGAGUGCUACCAUUGAUGCUGAUGUUCAAUGCCUUCAACAGGGGUGGAUGACCUUACUGACUCCCUCUCCUCCCUCGCUGAAGUGGCCCUUCAGAAUCGUAGAGGCCUUGACCUGCUUUUCCUUCAACAAGGGGGGCUGUGUGCAGCCCUAAAGGAAGAAUGCUGUUUCUAUGUGGCUAAGACAGGUCUAGUCAAAGAAAGCAUGAAAAAAGGGGGAGGGGGAUGGGGGAGGGAAGGAGGCGAGAGCUGGCAUCACAAUUGGUUUUCCACCUCCCCUUGGCUGACCGCCCUUCUUCCCUCUUUGUUGGGACCCUUGGUUGGUCCUCUUUUGCUCAUAUCUUUUGGCCCAUGGGCCUUUAGUCACCUGACUAGCCUUAUUAAACAACAAGUAGAUGAUUGGGCAGUGAAACCUAUUCACAUGCAUUAUCAUAGAUUGGCUUUAGAGGAUUUAGGUAAAGAAGGCUCGGCUUCAACUCCCAUCUCCACCCAAUCCGAUCUGGGCAAUAUGGCUCUUGGGACUGCCUAAUGUUGGCCCUACUUGCAAAAAUAGCCUCCAUCACCUUUCAGCCUUGGCACUGACAUUGACUGUGAUUCUCUGUCCCCUGCUCAGUCCAUGCUGGGUAGAACGCCAAAGACGGGCAACUUUCGAGACCCCCAUUCACCUAAGACAGAAGCCCUGAAGGCUGACAGGGUAUUCAGUGACGGGUAAGACUGGUGGGCUCCUCGAUCGAUCCUAAGACAGGCACUACCCCAAAAGGAUAAGAGGGACUUCGUUCCCCGCUGAGCUACUUGCCAUCUUGGAGUGCUAAUAUCAGGGGCCUUUCAUCCAUACCAAUCUGGUGGUCAGCGUUGCUCAGUAACAAGGCUUGCCAGAAGUGUUGAUAUAAAUUUGGUGGUCCAACAGGUUUUUGUUGAGAGCUAGUUUCAUACAGACCUAGGGCUGGUGACCUUUGCAAAAGAAUCAGCUUCCUACAGACCCCUACAGCCCCAGGUCUUGUGACCUUUUGCUGAAAGCCAAUUUCCUACAGACCCACGGAUUGUGACCUUCUGCUAGGGGCCAACUUCCUACAAGGAACCUAGGCCAACAUCCUGCAGGAGUGAGCUAACUACCCUAUUGGUUAGAACAUCAAGGUCUCCCGCCCCCUGAAGACUUCCUCCUCCCCCUGCCUUGUUACUGUAUAUAAUCAGAGCCUGUAAGCAUUAAACUUGUCGCCUUGAUCAGA
RNAcentral lists this long non-coding RNA (1668 nucleotides) under Rattus norvegicus (Norway rat). RNAcentral's name for it is "long non-coding RNA NONRATT029294". Lineage: Eukaryota; Metazoa; Chordata; Mammalia; Rodentia; Muridae. The record is from RNAcentral.